This 253-nucleotide ribosomal RNA is filed under the name uncultured bacterium. RNAcentral's name for it is "partial 16S ribosomal RNA". It matches the Rfam family "Bacterial small subunit ribosomal RNA", at positions 524 to 776 of the family's 1533-position model. The record is from RNAcentral.
UACGAAGGGGGCUAGCGUUGCUCGGAAUCACUGGGCGUAAAGCGCACGUAGGCGGGUCGUUAAGUCAGGGGUGAAAUCCCAGAGCUCAACUCUGGAACUGCCUUUGAUACUGGCGACCUAGAGUUCGGAAGAGGUUAGUGGAAUUCCCAGUGUAGAGGUGAAAUUCGUAGAUAUUGGGAAGAACACCAGUGGCGAAGGCGGCUAACUGGUCCGAUACUGACGCUGAGGUGCGAAAGCGUGGGGAGCAAACAGG